Long non-coding RNA from Carassius carassius (crucian carp), 697 nucleotides. RefSeq lists it as uncharacterized. The transcript has 3 exons. The record is from RefSeq and is a predicted model, not a curated record. Lineage: Eukaryota; Metazoa; Chordata; Actinopteri; Cypriniformes; Cyprinidae.
GGCUACUCACAAAUAUUUCACUGAUUCACAUCAGCUCUUAUUUAAGUAGGGGGCUGACUGAAAUUCAUAAACUAUCCCUCCACCCCUACAUUUCUCCAUCUGUCUACCCAUAUAUUUAUCCUGAGAGGACAAACACAAAUAAGGGAGAGAUUGAGGGUUACCUGCAUUUACAAUGUGUGCAUUUCAUUUAUGAUGGCAGUAGACUAUAAAACUACUCUAUAUGUCUUUGUCUUUCUCUGAAUUUGACAAAAAAAAAGUCAAAAGUCAAGAUAACUGAAACCAACACCAGAAGGAAAAAUCUGCAAAAAGACAUGACAAGAAAGGAUAUACACAGUGAACGAGAAAUUAUGCCUUUCUGACAAUAAGAAUCCUGCAUCCCGCUGACUCAAACUGGGCACAAGAAUCGCAUGGUUUGUUUGGAGGAGAGCAUACCCUAAGGGACUGUCUGAGUGGGUCGAUGAACAUGAGCAUUAAAGAGGAAAAGCGAGACGAUGGAUGAUGAAUAGGUGGAUGGAUGCGUGGAAGAGCUCUAGGUCUUUUCUGAAAGGAGACAAUACUGUUACAUGAUCCCAAUCCAGCCCGAAGCACACACAAAGAGGAAAUGCUUAUCGACAAAGAGCCUACCGGUGGCAUAGAUGAGUGUGUUUUCUACAUAAUUCACACACUUGUCCCAGCGAGGGGUCAGAGAGGUGGUGCC